Molecule: non-coding RNA, 83 nt
Filed under: Serratia liquefaciens
Lineage: Bacteria; Pseudomonadati; Pseudomonadota; Gammaproteobacteria; Enterobacterales; Yersiniaceae
Description: TPP riboswitch (THI element)
Rfam family: TPP riboswitch aptamer (THI element)
About the family: Vitamin B(1) in its active form thiamin pyrophosphate (TPP) is an essential coenzyme that is synthesised by coupling of pyrimidine and thiazole moieties in bacteria.
Source: RNAcentral
GACUCGGGGUGCCCUGCGCGAUGUGCGGUGGCUGAGAUUUUACCCGUAUUACCUGAUCUGGAUUAUGCCAGCGUAGGGAAGUC